RNAcentral lists this ribosomal RNA (480 nucleotides) under uncultured bacterium. RNAcentral describes it as "partial 16S ribosomal RNA". It matches the Rfam family "Bacterial small subunit ribosomal RNA", at positions 28 to 507 of the family's 1533-position model. The record is from RNAcentral.
GACGAACGCUGGCGGCGUGCUUAACACAUGCAAGUCGAACGAUGAAGAAAAGAAUCGAAGCUUCGGCAGAAAUUCAUUUCGGAUUAGUGGCAGACGGGUGAGUAACGCGUGAGCAACCUACCUCUUACAAAGGGAUGGCCUCGGGAAACCGGGAUUAAUACCAUAUAACAUUGUGACGAAGCAUUUCGAUGCAAUCAAAGCUACGGCGGUAAGAGAUGGGCUCGCGUCCCAUUAACCGGAUGGUGAGGUAACGGCUCACCAUAGUGACGAUGGGUAACCGGCCUGAGAGGGUGAACGGUCACACUGGAACUGAGACACGGUCCAGACUCCUACGGGAGGCAGCAGUGGGGAAUAUUGCACAAUGGAGGGAACUCUGAUGCAGCGACGCCGCGUGAGUGAUGAAGGAAUUCGUUUCGUAAAACUCUGUUCUAUGGGAAGAAAAGGACUGUACCAUAGGAGAAAGCUCCGGCUAAAUACGUG